UAGCCAACUGAUGAUACUCCACUUCAGGUCCGUGUUUCUGAAUCCUGAUCAUAUGGAAGUUCUGAGCAA
Molecule: small nucleolar RNA, 69 nt
Organism: Nerophis ophidion (straightnose pipefish)
Lineage: Eukaryota; Metazoa; Chordata; Actinopteri; Syngnathiformes; Syngnathidae
Product: small nucleolar RNA SNORD18
Exons: 1
Source: RefSeq, a predicted model, not a curated record